GUGGGGAAUUUUGGACAAUGGGCGAAAGCCUGAUCCAGCAAUGCCGCGUGCAGGAUGAAGGCCCUCGGGUUGUAAACUGCUUUUGUACGGAACGAAAAGCCUGGGGCUAAUAUCCCCGGGUCAUGACGGUACCGUAAGAAUAAGCACCGGCUAACUACGUGCCAGCAGCCGCGGUAAUACGUAGGGUGCAAGCGUUAAUCGGAAUUACUGGGCGUAAAGCGUGCGCAGGCGGUUUUGUAAGACAGUGGUGAAAUCCCCGGGCUCAACCUGGGAACUGCCAUUGUGACUGCAAGGCUAGAGUGCGGCAGAGGGGGAUGGAAUUCCGCGUGUAGCAGUGAAAUGCGUAGAUAUGCGGAGGAACACCGAUGGCGAAGGCAAUCCCCUGGGCCUGCACUGACGCUCAUGCACGAAAGCGUGGGGAGCAAACAGGAUUAGAAACCCCGGUAGUCC
This 450-nucleotide ribosomal RNA is filed under the name uncultured bacterium. Its description in RNAcentral is "partial 16S ribosomal RNA". It matches the Rfam family "Bacterial small subunit ribosomal RNA", at positions 354 to 796 of the family's 1533-position model. The record is from RNAcentral.